GAAUUUAAGCCCCAGUAAACGGCGGUGGUAACUAUAACCAUCCUAAGGUAGCGAAAUUCCUUGUCGGGUAAGUUCCGACCUGCACGAAUGGCGUAACGACUUCUCCGCUGUCUCGACCGUGAACUCGGCGAAAUUGCAGUACGAGUAAAGAUGCUCGUUUCGCGCAGAAGGACGGAAAGACCCCGGGACCUUUACUAUAGCUUGGUAUUGGUGUUCGCUUGGACUUGUGUAGGAUAGGUGGGAGACUGUGAAGCUGCCGCGCCAGCGGUGGUGGAGUCGUCGUUGAAAUACCAUUCUGGUUCAAGCGGUCACCUCAACCUUGGCCCGUGAUCCGGGUUGGGGACAGUGCCUGGUGGGUAGUUUAACUGGGGCGGUUGCCUCCUAAAAUGUAACGGAGGCGCUCAAAGGUUCCCUCAGCCUGGUUGGUAAUCAGGUGGCGAGUGCAAGUGUACAAGGGAGCUUGACUGUGAGACCGACGGGUCGAGCAGGUGCGAAAGCAGGAACUAGUGAUCCGGCCAUGGCACGUGGGUGCGUGGUCGCUCAACGGAUAAAAGGUACCCCGGGGAUAACAGGCUGAUCUUGCCCAAGAGUCCAUAUCGACGGCAUGGUUUGGCACCUCGAUGUCGGCUCGUCGCAUCCUGGGGCUGGAGUCGGUCCCAAGGGUUGGGCUGUUCGCCCAUUAAAGCGGUACGCGAGCUGGGUUCAGAACGUCGUGAGACAGUUCGGUCCCUAUCCUCUGUGCGCGCAGGAAAUUUGAGAAGGGCCGUCCCUAGUACGAGAGGACCGGGAUGGACGAACCUCUGGUGUGCCAGUUGUACCGCCAGGUGCAUGGCUGGUUAGCUACGUUCGGAAGGGAUAACCGCUGAAAGCAUCUAAGCGGGAAGCCUGCUUCAAGAUGAGGUUUCCACGCCCCCUCGUGGGGUGAGAGGCCCCCGCCAGACUAGCGGGUUGAUAGGCCAGAGGUGGAAGCACAGCAAUGUGCUCGUGAGCCGACUGGUACUAAUGGGCCAACACUAAACAAC
RNAcentral lists this ribosomal RNA (1022 nucleotides) under human oral metagenome. Its description in RNAcentral is "bacterial LSU rRNA". It matches the Rfam family "Bacterial large subunit ribosomal RNA", at positions 1909 to 2925 of the family's 2925-position model. The record is from RNAcentral.